This 3207-nucleotide ribosomal RNA is filed under the name Saccharomyces cerevisiae YJM1444. Its description in RNAcentral is "21S ribosomal RNA". The stretch from base 186 to 3047 matches the Rfam family "Bacterial large subunit ribosomal RNA". Lineage: Eukaryota; Fungi; Ascomycota; Saccharomycetes; Saccharomycetales; Saccharomycetaceae. The record is from RNAcentral.
GUAAAAAGUAGAAUAAUAGAUUUGAAAUAUUUAUUAUAUAGAUUUAAAGAGAUAAUCAUGGAGUAUAAUAAUUAAAUUUAAUAAAUUUAAUAUAACUAUUAAUAGAAUUAGGUUACUAAUAAAUUAAUAACAAUUAAUUUUAAAACCUAAAGGUAAACCUUUAUAUUAAUAAUGUUUUUUUUUAUUAUUUUUAUAAUAAGAAUAAUUAUUAAUAAUAAUAAACUAAGUGAACUGAAACAUCUAAGUAACUUAAGGAUAAGAAAUCAACAGAGAUAUUAUGAGUAUUGGUGAGAGAAAAUAAUAAAGGUCUAAUAAGUAUUAUGUGAAAAAAAUGUAAGAAAAUAGGAUAACAAAUUCUAAGACUAAAUACUAUUAAUAAGUAUAGUAAGUACCGUAAGGGAAAGUAUGAAAAUGAUUAUUUUAUAAGCAAUCAUGAAUAUAUUAUAUUAUAUUAAUGAUGUACCUUUUGUAUAAUGGGUCAGCAAGUAAUUAAUAUUAGUAAAACAAUAAGUUAUAAAUAAAUAGAAUAAUAUAUAUAUAUAAAAAAAUAUAUUAAAAUAUUUAAUUAAUAUUAAUUGACCCGAAAGCAAACGAUCUAACUAUGAUAAGAUGGAUAAACGAUCGAACAGGUUGAUGUUGCAAUAUCAUCUGAUUAAUUGUGGUUAGUAGUGAAAGACAAAUCUGGUUUGCAGAUAGCUGGUUUUCUAUGAAAUAUAUGUAAGUAUAGCCUUUAUAAAUAAUAAUUAUUAUAUAAUAUUAUAUUAAUAUUAUAUAAAGAAUGGUACAGCAAUUAAUAUAUAUUAGGGAACUAUUAAAGUUUUAUUAAUAAUAUUAAAUCUCGAAAUAUUUAAUUAUAUAUAAUAAAGAGUCAGAUUAUGUGCGAUAAGGUAAAUAAUCUAAAGGGAAACAGCCCAGAUUAAGAUAUAAAGUUCCUAAUAAAUAAUAAGUGAAAUAAAUAUUAAAAUAUUAUAAUAUAAUCAGUUAAUGGGUUUGACAAUAACCAUUUUUUAAUGAACAUGUAACAAUGCACUGAUUUAUAAUAAAUAAAAAAAAAAUAAUAUUUAAAAUCAAAUAUAUAUAUAUAUAUUUGUUAAUAGAUAAUAUACGGAUCUUAAUAAUAAGAAUUAUUUAAUUCCUAAUAUGGAAUAUUAUAUUUUUAUAAUAAAAAUAUAAAUACUGAAUAUCUAAAUAUUAUUAUUACUUUUUUUUUUAAUAAUAAUAAUAUGGUAAUAGAACAUUUAAUGAUAAUAUAUAUUAGUUAUUAAUUAAUAUAUGUAUUAAUUAAAUAGAGAAUGCUGACAUGAGUAACGAAAAAAAGGUAUAAACCUUUUCACCUAAAACAUAAGGUUUAACUAUAAAAGUACGGCCCCUAAUUAAAUUAAUAAGAAUAUAAAUAUAUUUAAGAUGGGAUAAUCUAUAUUAAUAAAAAUUUUAUCUUAAAAUAUAUAUAUUAUUAAUAAUUAUAUUAAUAAUAUAUAUAAUUAUAUUAUAUAUUUUUUUUAUAUAAUAUAAACUAAUAAAGAUCAGGAAAUAAUUAAUGUAUACCGUAAUGUAGACCGACUCAGGUAUGUAAGUAGAGAAUAUGAAGGUGAAUUAGAUAAUUAAAGGGAAGGAACUCGGCAAAGAUAGCUCAUAAGUUAGUCAAUAAAGAGUAAUAAGAACAAAGUUGUACAACUGUUUACUAAAAACACCGCACUUUGCAGAAACGAUAAGUUUAAGUAUAAGGUGUGAACUCUGCUCCAUGCUUAAUAUAUAAAUAAAAUUAUUUAACGAUAAUUUAAUUAAAUUUAGGUAAAUAGCAGCCUUAUUAUGAGGGUUAUAAUGUAGCGAAAUUCCUUGGCCUAUAAUUGAGGUCCCGCAUGAAUGACGUAAUGAUACAACAACUGUCUCCCCUUUAAGCUAAGUGAAAUUGAAAUCGUAGUGAAGAUGCUAUGUACCUUCAGCAAGACGGAAAGACCCUAUGCAGCUUUACUGUAAUUAGAUAGAUCGAAUUAUUGUUUAUUAUAUUCAGCAUAUUAAGUAAUCCUAUUAUUAGGUAAUCGUUUAGAUAUUAAUGAGAUACUUAUUAUAAUAUAAUGAUAAUUCUAAUCUUAUAAAUAAUUAUUAUUAUUAUUAAUAAUAAUAAUAAUAUGCUUUCAAGCAUAGUGAUAAAACAUAUUUAUAUGAUAAUCACUUUACUUAAUAGAUAUAAUUCUUAAGUAAUAUAUAAUAUAUAUUAUAUAUAUAUUAUAUAUAAUAUAAGAGACAAUCUCUAAUUGGUAGUUUUGAUGGGGCGUCAUUAUCAGCAAAAGUAUCUGAAUAAGUCCAUAAAUAAAUAUAUAAAAUUAUUGAAUAAAAAAAAUAAUAUAUAUUAUAUAUAUUAAUUAUAAAUUGAAAUAUGUUUAUAUAAAUUUAUAUUUAUUGAAUAUAUUUUAGUAAUAGAUAAAAAUAUGUACAGUAAAAUUGUAAGGAAAACAAUAAUAACUUUCUUAAAAAAUAAAAAUGGAAAGAAUUAAAUUAAUAUAAUGGUAUAACUGUGCGAUAAUUGUAACACAAACGAGUGAAACAAGUACGUAAGUAUGGCAUAAUGAACAAAUAACACUGAUUGUAAAGGUUAUUGAUAACGAAUAAAAGUUACGCUAGGGAUAACAGGGUAAUAUAACGAAAGAGUAGAUAUUGUAAGUUAUGUUUGCCACCUCGAUGUCGACUCAACAUUUCCUCUUGGUUGUAAAAGCUAAGAAGGGUUUGACUGUUCGUCAAUUAAAAUGUUACGUGAGUUGGGUUAAAUACGAUGUGAAUCAGUAUGGUUCCUAUCUGCUGAAGGAAAUAUUAUCAAAUUAAAUCUCAUUAUUAGUACGCAAGGACCAUAAUGAAUCAACCCAUGGUGUAUCUAUUGAUAAUAAUAUAAUAUAUUUAAUAAAAAUAAUACUUUAUUAAUAUAUUAUCUAUAUUAGUUUAUAUUUUAAUUAUAUAUUAUCAUAGUAGAUAAGCUAAGUUGAUAAUAAAUAAAUAUUGAAUACAUAUUAAAUAUGAAGUUGUUUUAAUAAGAUAAUUAAUCUGAUAAUUUUAUACUAAAAUUAAUAAUUAUAGGUUUUAUAUAUUAUUUAUAAAUAAAUAUAUUAUAAUAAUAAUAAUUAUUAUUAUUAAUAAAAAAUAUUAAUUAUAAUAUUAAUAAAAUACUAAUUUAUCAGUUAUCUAUAUAAUAUCUAAUCUAUUAUUCUAUAUACU